AUGGUCUUGUGGCUAAACUUGGUGUCCUUUUUGGCAGUCCUCAGAGGAGCUCAGUCUGAGGGCCAGUUGGUGGAGUCUGGAGGGGAUGUGAGAAGGCCUGGAGAGUCCCUCCGCCUCUCCUGCCAAGCCUCCGGAUUCACUUUCAGCAGUUAUGGCAUGAACUGGUUCAGACAGGCUCCAGGGAAAGGCCUGGAGUGGGUAGCCCACAUAAAUCCAAGUUCCAGUACUUACCACUCGGACAAAGUGAAGGGACGCUUCACCAUCUCCAGGGACAACUCCAAAAGCCAACUCUAUCUGCAGAUGAACAGCCUGAAGCCGGAGGACUCGGCAGUCUAUUAUUGUGAACGUGGCCAAGGGAACAACUGCGAAGGAAACAUCCUGAACUCCGAUGUGCCAUCCUUUCCAUGUCUGGGCUCUAACGUGGCUGUUUAA
This is a non-coding RNA of Candoia aspera, 432 nucleotides long. The record is from the annotation of a RefSeq genome assembly. NCBI's taxonomy places the organism in Eukaryota, Metazoa, Chordata, Lepidosauria, Squamata, Candoiidae.